GGAGACCACGGUGGCCGCCGUCCUCAGUUUCUUCCGCUUGCGCGGCUUGCAGGCCGCUGCCUCCUUCGACAUGAUCUGAAGACCCUCCGCUAGCGCCUCCUUCGACAUGCCCUGCAAUCUCCUCGGCUUCACCUCCAGCGAUGGCGAGCUGCUGCUGCUGCUGCUAGAGGAGUUGAGGGGCGCCACUGACAUGGAAGGCAGCAAGGCGAGGCUUAUCCGGUGGAGGGUGCUCACCAUGUCGCCGAGCUCGACUGCAGACCCGGCAGCAUCACAUCGGUACUGCAGAUUGUGAUGAAUCAUGUUGGUCAGGUGAUGGUCUUUACUAGUUGAGUUCUAGAAUACUGUUCCGACACGGACGGAGGCAAUGAAUUGCUAGAUGGUUUAUUACAACAGAUUUCUGGAUGGAUUUAUUUCUCCCUGGACAGUUUACAACUUGGUCUGGCUUGACAAAUAGCCCAGUAAUUCUUGAGUUUGCUUGUGCUUCCGUGGUGUCAUCGAUCCAGAAAAGGGCAUUGACUCUAGAUAAUGUGUCAUGUACAUAGAAAUAAGUUUAUCGUGUGAUGUACUUGCUGAAGUUGGGAGUUAUAUUAGAAACAAGGGCACUGGUGAUGUAUGUUGUUGUAACUGAUUGUAAACACAUUCGUUCUGUGUAUAAAUAAAGUUCUCCUUUUGAAUGA
Molecule: long non-coding RNA, 677 nt
Organism: Lolium rigidum
Lineage: Eukaryota; Viridiplantae; Streptophyta; Magnoliopsida; Poales; Poaceae
Exons: 2
Source: RefSeq, a predicted model, not a curated record